Orcinus orca (killer whale) is the source of this 364-nucleotide long non-coding RNA. RefSeq lists it as uncharacterized. The record is from RefSeq and is a predicted model, not a curated record. The transcript has 2 exons. NCBI's taxonomy places the organism in Eukaryota, Metazoa, Chordata, Mammalia, Artiodactyla, Delphinidae.
GGACAUGCUGCUUCCACGAACGUUACCUAAUCUUUAGCUCACAAAAGCAAAAGUGAUGUGGCCCUGAGCUUCUGUGAGUAAUUUCGCUGACAGCCACACCCCUGGAUAUAUGACAACCUGGUGUGACCUCAAACCUUGAUGUGAAAGGACCACAUAGCUCACAAAUGAAUCACAAGGGCUGCAUGCGAAAAAGCUGUGAGUGGAGGGAAAGCAAUCUGAUCGUAUCCAGCAUUUUCCACUAAGUGAGCAGCAAAAUUGGACAGCUGGUGACUGAAAAGGGGUUGUCUCCCUGUCUCCGCACUUUUCAUCAUUUCCUUGGCUGGUCAGGUGGACCUGCGGCUAUAAUGACCUCUGACGGCAGCCC